This 443-nucleotide ribosomal RNA is filed under the name uncultured bacterium. RNAcentral's name for it is "partial 16S ribosomal RNA". It matches the Rfam family "Bacterial small subunit ribosomal RNA", at positions 338 to 795 of the family's 1533-position model. The record is from RNAcentral.
CCUACGGGAGGCAGCAGUGGGGAAUAUUGGGCAAUGGGGGGAACCCUGAUCCAGCGACGCCGCGUGAGUGAUGAAGUAUUUCGGUAUGUAAAGCUCUAUCAGCAGGGACGAAAGAAGUGACUGUACCUGCCUAAUAAGCCCCGGCUAACUACGUGCCAGCAGCCGCGGUAAUACGUAGGGGGCAAGCGUUAUCCGGAUUUACUGGGCGUAAAGGGAGCGUAGGCGGCUUUGCAAGUCGGAAGUGAAAGCCCGGGGCGCAACCUCCGGACUGCUUUCGAAACUGUAUGGCUGGAGUGCAGGAGAGGUGAGUGGAAUUCCUAGUGUAGCGGUGAAAUGCGUAGAUAUUAGGAGGAACACCAGCGGCGAAGGCGGCUUACUGGACUGUAACUGACGUUGAGGCUCGAAAGCGUGGGGAGCAAACAGGAUUAGAUACCCGGGUAGUC